This 512-nucleotide long non-coding RNA is filed under the name Salmo salar (Atlantic salmon). Its description in RNAcentral is "lncRNA (ENSSSAG00000108940.1)". The record is from RNAcentral. Lineage: Eukaryota; Metazoa; Chordata; Actinopteri; Salmoniformes; Salmonidae.
CUCAUAGAAACACAUUGGGCAUAUUUUGGACAGAUUUUGGCGCGUUUGAAACCUCUCGCUUCGCCUCUUCCUCUCUGUGGAGAGCGCAUCGACGCAGCUGCAGGCAACAGUGCGACUUUUUCCUCAACACAUUGCAGAGGGUUCUCAUAGCUGGACUUCUCGCCCAAAAGCAAACGCUAACUUGGCCAUACCUUCAAAGUGUCCUCAGGGGUCUAUAGAUAAUGGGACAUGCUGGACCUACCACACACAGGACCACAACUUCUGCAAUACAGCAAGGUGCCUCUGGAAAGAAAACAGGCGAGACCCAGGCAUCAACGGGCCUCUGUUUAAAUAAGCAGGUGCCGCAGAUCUGAAUGUGGCCUCCUCAACAUCUGUUUGCCAGGACUCCAGCAACCAUUUACAUACACAAAUUAUGUGGAAAUACAAACAUUCACAUUUAAACUCAAACAAAGGCUAUUUUGGACAUUAAAAUGCAAUCUACUAUUCUGACAGGUGAGGGGUAAGAAUGGGGG